GGCCUCUGAUGAGGUCUUUCAGUAGCAGUGGUAGGAGGAGGCCUCUGAUGAGGUCUGUCAGUAGCAGUGGUAGGAGGAGGGCUCUGAUGAGGUCUGUCAGUAGCAGUGGUAGGAGGAGGGCUCUGAUGAGGUCUGUCAGUAGCAGUGGUAGGAGGAGGGCUCUGAUGAGGUCUGUCAGUAGCAGUGGUAGGAGGAGGGCUCUGAUGAGGUCUGUCAGUAGCAGUGGGAGGAGGAGGGCUCUGAUGAGGUCUGUCAGUAGCAGUGGGAGGAAGAGGGCUCUGAUGAGGUCUGUCAGUAGCAGUGGUAGGAGGAGGGCUCUGAUGAGGUCUGUCAGUAGCAGUGGUAGGAGGAGGGCUCUGAUGCUGAUGAGGUCUGUCAGUAGCAGUGGUAGGACGAGGGCUCUGAUGAGGUCUGUCAUUAGCAGUGGUAGGAUCGUUCACUGUGUGACUGUGUGUUUUGCUGCUAUUCUCUGUG
This is a long non-coding RNA of Oncorhynchus keta (chum salmon), 474 nucleotides long. RefSeq lists it as uncharacterized. The transcript is spliced from 5 exons. The record is from RefSeq and is a predicted model, not a curated record. NCBI's taxonomy places the organism in Eukaryota, Metazoa, Chordata, Actinopteri, Salmoniformes, Salmonidae.